Molecule: long non-coding RNA, 4700 nt
Organism: Oncorhynchus tshawytscha (Chinook salmon)
Lineage: Eukaryota; Metazoa; Chordata; Actinopteri; Salmoniformes; Salmonidae
Source: Ensembl
CACAAUGGUUUUAACAGGGGAACAUCCAACAAGGAACUUUAACAGAAGAUUAUCUUUACUACUUUCCAGAUAUAUUUCCUGGAAUUAUUAACCUUGAUGUCUACUUACAAGGAUGGAGAUAAUCCUGACCAUUUUUGGAUCCUCUCUUCCCCAGUCUGGUGGAUAUCUACGGAUAUUACUUUGAAUUCAUAUAGAUUUUAUUUGUGACAAAGGUAUUUAUUUGAGAUGACCGAAAUAGGCAAGUGUCUGAACAAACAGCUUCAAUGAUAGGGAGUUGAUUAGAUAUUUACCAUUAAUGAGAUAUUUUAAAUGAUUUAACGUCCUCUAAUAAUAGUAGUAGUCAAGAUUUCUAUCUGUGUUAUUAUUGAUUUAAAGAUAAAUAUACUCUCACCUUGGUGCCUGAAACAUCUCUGUAGUUUUGGAGGGGUCAUUUGGUUUUAGAAAACACUUUUUUAUUUUUUUAUUUUUUUUUAAAUAUAAACUUUUUGACAGUAUUCUUUAAAAGAGACAAUCUGCAGAUUGUUUAAUUUUCUAUUGGAUAGAGAGUAGUUAGAGAACAGAACAAUGUUGUGCAGUUGGAGCGAUGGAGUUAACAACAAACCAAGGACGUGUGGAUGUCCUUCCCUGUGUGACACGUGGCUGGCUGCUGGGGGCCCUGUUUCCACAACAGCACGCCUCGGGGCAGAGAAGGAGGAGAAGGAUGGUGGCACGGGUGGCCUGUGUUCCGGAGCAGGGUGACAGGAACAGAACUGUGUGCUGCUCUCUCUGUUUACCAAACAAGCCUCAUAGUGCUUUAUUGACAUGUUUAACGUCUAAGCGGGCUGUCAGAGGGAUGAACAGCUGAGAUGGCAAGACAAAGAGAGGGAAGGCAGGCAGGCAGGCAGCGGCACCAAAGGCCACCUCCUCCUGUGGCAUGCCUUAUGAAACAAAUGCAACUGUGUCAUUCCCCUGGCCCUCUCCCUCUCCUCCCUGUGCUGCGAGCUGGAUGACUAAUUUAGAGUUUGGCUUUGUCCGUGUGUAUGUUUAUUGUGUCAACAGUGCACCUGCUGCCUGCCGCCUCCUCCCUAAUUCACCGUAGCACGCGCCAUAACCUAUAACACGCGCCGGUUCCCCUAAUCUCCUCACUUACUGAGAGUACAACUUUGCCCCAGGUCACACUGCUGGGCACCCCGACAUCAACCAACAUGUUCACUCUCUGUUUGCCACCCGACUCCACACGCCCCCAUCUAGCUGACAACCGUUUUUUUACUGAUUGAUAUGACUUUGUUCUUGUGUAUUUUAAACCUUUUGCUCAAGAUGGGGGAUCAAGUUUUAUAUCAUUGAUCUAGUCUCUUUUCCCCUUUCUAAACCCCUAUCUGUUUCUCUUUGUUUCUCUCUCUUUGUUUCUCUCCGUCUCUCUCUUUACAACUCUCUCUCUCUAUUUCUCUCACUCUCUCUCUACAUAUUUAUCUCCAUCUCUCCCUCUCUCCCUGCAGUACAGUCAUUUUAUCAGGCAGGUGUGUGGAUGUCUGCAGUGAGCAAUGGAGCAGGUGUAGUGGGAGAUUUAUUGAUUUUAAUCACAUUCUGUUGAGCAAUAGUUCCCAGCCCCAGGCGUAAGGCAGGCAUGUCCUCAGACCGCCGGUACCGAUAUGAAUAAAUGGGCAGGCAGGCAGGCAUAGCACCUAUCUCACUGUCCACAAAGACACAGGAUCAGGGGGAGUGUGUAGUUUAAUGGAAGGGAUCCUGUAAACGACUUAGGUCUUGAUUCAAUCCGUAUCGCGGGAGAUCUGUGUCAAAAUGUAAAGGUCAUUUUCGAUUGAGCCGGCAACAUUUACAGUGAAUUCAGUCUCCACGAAUGCAAUCGAGCUACAACGGAAAUGUUGUGCGAUACAUCUGCGAUAUGGAUUGAAUUCAGUCCAUAGCCCUUUCCUGCAGUCAAUUGACUUAGUGUCGGUUUCAUGGGUGGAAUGUUAAUAUCUUUCAUAAUUAAUACACUUUUUUAUUUUGCAGAAAAUCUGUUGUUUUUGUUAGAUUUCCGUCUUCUGUGACGUAUAUAAAGUGUAAUAUUGGGAUGCAAACUCAAAAUGUAAUGUAUUUCAACUCUGUAUCAAACAUGGUACAGGUGUCUUAUUUUUAAAGCCCUUGAGCAUGUGUGUGAAGUCUAUACUUUUGUUUUUAUGUCAGUCUAAACUGGUUAAACUGUUUUCUUAAACUGCCUCCUGUGCUGUCAAUCAUAUAUUUCAGUCAAAUACUAAAUCAAUUGCAUUAGAAUUAGCCAUUUUUUUCUGUACUUGUGUGCACUUGUGUUCUUGUGCACCUGUGUAGGUGUGUGUACAAGCAGGUUAUAGGGGUGUCGGUGUGCCAACAGAACAGCCUUGAGGCGACCUGUUCUUACUAUCUCUGGGGGCUUGUGGGGGCUUGUUCUCAGAUCCCUCACCGUUCAUAAACUCCUGUCAGCUCCAACAGUUGACACCUGAGUGCACCGAAAAUGUCCAAUCUUGACUUGCGAUCUGAUAAAAUCUUCUGUUUCAGCAACGGACAUGACCACAGAAAGCUGGCUACCAAUAAAAUGCCAGCCACUGAUUGUCUCUGUUUCCUUUACCCCAAAUAUCCAUCACUGUCUCAGAGAGAGAAAGAGACAAAAGCUUACAGUUUGACAGUUUGUCUGAGAAAUGUAAAAGGUGAAAGGUCAAUGGAAUCUACAGGUCUUAUGUACACCGACCCCCGUCUCUAUCUACUGGACCUAAGAGCCCAGUAGUGGUUGAGAGGGGUUGCGUGUGUGUGUGUGUGUGUGUGUGUGUGUGUGUGUGUGUGUGUGUGUGUGUGUGUGUGUGUGUGUGUGUGUGUGUGUGUGUGUGUGUGUGUGUGUGUAAAAAGAAAUAUAUAUAUAUAUAUAUACCUGGCAGUGUGGCCUACAGUGGGUAUGGGUUUUACUCCUACACUUUGUUUGGUUUAACCCACACAGGGCCUGCGUGUUCCCCCUUCCUGACUCUGAGGCUUGAUCGGCGGGUUUGAGAUGUGAUGUAAUGUAUCAUCAACCUUAAGCUCAUCUCGUUGUGUGUCACUUCAAGACUGUUUCACAAAGCAGAGCCCCCACUGCACUCAGCAUCUGUAUAAACCAUGGCAGGUGUAAUGGAGGGAGGCUAGCUUUCCUUCAUAUAAGAGAUGAUGCCAAUGUAUUCCCCACACGUCUGGAAACCAUAAUAUUUCCUUCAUCAGUGCUGCAUGCCACUGACUUAGAGAUACACAUACAGUCUCAGUGGAAUGGAAUACCUGUCCUGUUCAUCCAGGCUUCACUGGCUGUUAAGCACCUGCAUCUACACCUGUCUGCACCUGCAGAACUGUCGUACACCUGCUCUCUCCGUGCUCCUAAAUGAUAGCACAUAUUCUCAUUUAACAUUAUGCCUCUCUUAUUCAUUCCACCACAGUAAGUUCUGUGGCCAUCAGAUCAUAAUUCAAAAGGCCCCUUUUCGGUAAAAUAAUUUGUACCAUCAUUUGUACAAUAAUUUGUAUAGCUGACAAUGGUGAGAUGCUGAGAUAUGUCUGAGCGUUGGAAGACCCAGACUCACUGGAUUAUUUAACGAUUUUAGGCACUGGGCAGCAGGGCUAGUAGACUGCAAUUUUUACUAGCCCUGGUCCAAAACGGCACUAACCGGCCAGGCUAGUUGGACACAUUUUCUACGAGCGCGGUCUGAAAAGUACUAGCCACGGGUUUUCCGAACUUGGUCCUCUGUACCCGAAGGAGUGCACGUUUUGGUUGAUGAACUAGCACUACACAGCUGAUUCAAAUAAUGAACUAAUCAUCAAGCUUUGAAUCAGCUGUGGAGUGCUAGGGGGAAACUACCAAAACGUGGACCCUUUGGGUUCCCCAGGACAGCGUUUGGGAAAUGCUGUCUUAUAUUAUGUUGAGGUGUAUCUGUCAGGAGAAACUCUCAUCAGACACCUAAUCCUCUCCUCAGACGGCUGGCGAAAGUCGCCGACCUCUCUGUUUCUCUGUGUGCUAAUGUCUGUGUUUGUUUACUCCUGUGUGCGCCCAUCCCAUUGAAUGAAACCCGUGGGACGGGUGGAGGGGUAUAGGGGCGAGGAAGUUCAUAUAGGGGCUCACAGAGCGGCCCGCCAGGGUGACAAAUGAUGCAGGCUGGAACAGGACCACAGGCAGACAUACCAUAUUUUGAAGAAAAAACCCCCACCAGGGUAUAUCUUAGAUGGAAACUCGACAGAAGUGUCUCUAAUGCUAAUGAAAGCGUUCCUAUCAUCAUGUUAUCUGUUCUUUCAAGUUCUACAUCAAUGCCUUGCAAUAUCUUCAGGUGAUCUGCCAAAUAGAAAUUGGAUGGUAUGCAUAAGCUGACAAGCAUGGUUGCUCAGGGAUGUCCUCAGGUUUGCACCAUUCAAAUGCCAUCCAUCUAUGUUUUGUGAUCCAUUAUCUUCCUCUAAGUCAUGUUAUCAGACACUAUUUGACCUAAUGCCAAUUUACAGUUUAUAACUUGACCCCAAAAACGUCACUAUGAGUGGGGAUAUACGAUACGUGACAGAAUAUUGGAAAUAAAAUCGUAAACAAUUCCAAAGUAUUGUCUUUGCAUGAGUUGUGUUUGAAAUGGUUCAGCAUGGACAGAGUUCAGGAGCCUUGAGUGACAAGAGGUGCUACAUGGACAGAGUUCAGGAGCCUUGAGUGACAAGAGGUGCUACAUGGACAGAGUUCAGGAGCCUUGAGUGACAAGAGG